AUCCAGCUGACGAGUCCCAAAUAGGACGAAAAGCGCCUUGUCAAACUGGAU
This 51-nucleotide non-coding RNA is filed under the name Schistosoma mansoni. Lineage: Eukaryota; Metazoa; Platyhelminthes; Trematoda; Strigeidida; Schistosomatidae. The record is from RNAcentral.